RNAcentral lists this ribosomal RNA (499 nucleotides) under Vibrio sp. RNAcentral describes it as "bacterial SSU rRNA". It matches the Rfam family "Bacterial small subunit ribosomal RNA", at positions 76 to 563 of the family's 1533-position model. The record is from RNAcentral. Lineage: Bacteria; Pseudomonadati; Pseudomonadota; Gammaproteobacteria; Vibrionales; Vibrionaceae.
ACCUUCGGGGAACGAUAACGGCGUCGAGCGGCGGACGGGUGAGUAAUGCCUAGGAAAUUGCCCUGAUGUGGGGGAUAACCAUUGGAAACGAUGGCUAAUACCGCAUAAUGCCUACGGGCCAAAGAGGGGGACCUUCGGGCCUCUCGCGUCAGGAUAUGCCUAGGUGGGAUUAGCUAGUUGGUGAGGUAAUGGCUCACCAAGGCGACGAUCCCUAGCUGGUCUGAGAGGAUGAUCAGCCACACUGGAACUGAGACACGGUCCAGACUCCUACGGGAGGCAGCAGUGGGGAAUAUUGCACAAUGGGCGCAAGCCUGAUGCAGCCAUGCCGCGUGUGUGAAGAAGGCCUUCGGGUUGUAAAGCACUUUCAGUCGUGAGGAAGGUGGUGUAGUUAAUAGCUGCAUUACUUGACGUUAGCGACAGAAGAAGCACCGGCUAACUCCGUGCCAGCAGCCGCGGUAAUACGGAGGGUGCGAGCGUUAAUCGGAAUUACUGGGCGUAA